Molecule: long non-coding RNA, 1546 nt
Organism: Alexandromys fortis (reed vole)
Lineage: Eukaryota; Metazoa; Chordata; Mammalia; Rodentia; Cricetidae
Exons: 3
Source: RefSeq, a predicted model, not a curated record
UUCGCUGUGGGCUCUGUCUCCCUAAUAGACUGGCGAUUUGGUAAAAGGUUUUAGAGGGUUUUGUUUAACCAUUUCUGCAUGUGUUUUUAAUGAGCUCAUGAUGCUUUGUAACAAAGGCCAGGUUGUGAGGUUUGCAGCCUUUUUUCGGACCUGAUCCCCUCCCGCUGACCUGCAGAGUGAGCACCUGUGCUCCUCGCCUGGCUCACCUAUGGGAGUCAAGGUGGUGGGGCCAUCUCCGGGCCUGUCUUCAUGCCAGGGAUGAGUCAUGCGGUAGGCAGGGCGGAAGGAGUCUCUUUGUUGACAGCUCUCCAUCUGGACUUUGGAUACGGCCGGCCGUUCAUGGAGAGCCUGGGUGAGCUGGAAAGGACUGCUCAAAUCAGCCCCUCCAUGAAGGCCCGGGGCAGUAAAACACCUGCAAAGGAACUGCCUGGCAUUUCAGUUGCAAAAGCAGAGGAGCGUCCCCCCCAACCCCAGUUCCAGCCUUCCAACUUGAGUCUAGCCCAAAGCCUGCCCUCUAAUACAUAUCAUACUUGAUAUUAAAGUGAGAAGAGGGUGAUUUAUGGGAGCUGCGUGAGAACCGUGUUCCCCUCAGGGCCAGCCUAUGUGGAGUCGACACCUCUGUUCAGGUAUCAACUGAUAUGAAAACCAGUCGCAGGGAGAAUGGCCGGGAAGGAGAGAGCCUUACCACGCGCUUCCAACAGCAGCUCUGAACCCGCCUGUCCUGCGCAUGCCUACUGUUCAAAAGGAGAUGGAGCUGAGGGCAGGGUGCCUAUCUCUUCGUGUGCCUGUGACUCUCGGAGGAGCCAUGGUAUCCUUUAAACGUAUCCCCAGGGCUCCUGGAAACCUACAGCUCUGCGGUCGCGUGGCGGGACUGCGGCAAUAUGAGGCUUGCGUGUGCUAAGAGGAUGUGAGGACUUCUGUACCGCAUCCCUCAAAGCAGAGCUCCUUACAACCCCGCAGCUCUGGCCCCCAAGUGCCCUGCAACUUUCUCUGGGAGGGGCGCCCUUGAUUUCUAAAGCAUCCACAGCCUUGCCUCAGGCGGGACUGGCCAGGAGCUGAAAAGAGAAGGCUUGGAAGCUUUCUGGAAAGGCCUUGCUUCUAAAAACCAGAAAUUGGGAGGGAGGAAGUUGACAAGAAAUCUGCCCUCUUGUUCUUUGCUGACUAAACCGUGUUGUCUUUAUCGUUUCAUCUUUAAAAUAAACCUUUUGAGCCAGAUAUACCUCUGAGGUUCUUUCCAGCCCCAAGUUCUUAGGCAUCUUUUACCUAUUUAUCUGAAAUGCUGAUUGAACUUGAACAGGGAAAUAUUUUCCAAUUAGGGUAGAGAUGGUGGCUAACAUACUGUUAGGCUUUUGAGGCUCGUGUGAUCAAAGGCGUGCUUGCUCCGAUAAGGGCGGGCAGGGGGAGGGCUGGGGAGGGUCUCUCCCGGCUGCUGGGGUUUUAACUCAGGUUUACACAUGUCAGCCAUGUGCUAAGCAUAUGCUUUCUGGUCUGUGGUCAAGCCCAGUGGGUUUAGGGUUAAUUUUUUUUUAUUUUUUAACAGGCAAAA